RNAcentral lists this ribosomal RNA (301 nucleotides) under uncultured bacterium. Its description in RNAcentral is "partial 16S ribosomal RNA". It matches the Rfam family "Bacterial small subunit ribosomal RNA", at positions 509 to 809 of the family's 1533-position model. The record is from RNAcentral.
CAGUAGCCACGGUAAUACGUAGGGUGCAAGCGUUAAUCGGAAUUACUGGGCGUAAAGCGUGCGCAGGCGGUUAUAUAAGACAGAUGUGAAAUCCCCGGGCUCAACCUGGGAACUGCAUUUGUGACUGUAUAGCUAGAGUACGGCAGAGGGGGAUGGAAUUCCGCGUGUAGCAGUGAAAUGCGUAGAUAUGCGGAGGAACACCGAUGGCGAAGGCAAUCCCCUGGGCCUGUACUGACGCUCAUGCACGAAAGCGUGGGGAGCAAACAGGAUUAGACCCCUGUAGUCCCUGUCUCUUAUACAC